AAUGAGAUUGCUGGAUCUCAUGGUAAGACUACAUUUACUUUUAUAAGAAACUGUCACACUGCCUUUCAAAGAGGCUGUGCCAUUUUGCACUCCCACCAGCAAC
This 103-nucleotide microRNA precursor is filed under the name Marmota monax (woodchuck). Lineage: Eukaryota; Metazoa; Chordata; Mammalia; Rodentia; Sciuridae. The record is from RNAcentral.